RNAcentral lists this long non-coding RNA (2560 nucleotides) under Anas zonorhyncha (Eastern spot-billed duck). Its description in RNAcentral is "lncRNA (ENSAZOG00000009842.1)". The record is from RNAcentral. Lineage: Eukaryota; Metazoa; Chordata; Aves; Anseriformes; Anatidae.
AGCCUAACGAUGCUGAGCCUCAAUCCUGCUUUUGCUGGAGAGCAGUGGCAGGAGGGUUUGCUGGCCAGCUAGAGAGGAACACAUGUGUGAUCCAAGCAUCAGGGACUUUCCCCCUGUUGUUUGUUGGGCAUUUGAAUCAAGUAGCUGCUAAAAAUACAGCUGCAGCCUCCCUCCACCGAGUCAUCACUCCAUGGGGACAGACAAACCAUCCUUGCUGGCAGUCCUAUGGUCUUUGGGGACGACAGAGGCAGGCAUGGGGCAGAGCUGUCCCCUCCUGUGCCCCAGUCACUCCCCACCUGCAUCCUCUUCCUCUCUCCUUUCGUACAGGUGUAGAUGUAAGGCUGAGUGUCAGCACCAGAAAAUGAAACCAGACCUGCUGGGGCAGUGGUUUCUGGGUGAUUCCCAGCAUCCAAGCUGACUGCCAGCUUUGAAUCCGUGAAUCAUUGGAUUCAUCUUUGCAUCAGCUAACACUCCUUCGCUGCAUUUUUUGUGGUCGGAUGCCGGAUGCCUCUCACAUCACUCUGUGCUGUUAACUCUGGCAGCCUACCCUAUGAUCCUAAUGAAGAAUGAGAUCGAGCUUGUUUGAGAUUGAUUCUUCCUGAAAAUGACGUUGACUGGUGUUAGCAGUACGUUACUGCCUCUCCAACCUUUACCAGUUGAAUUGUCUACCAGCACUCUGAUUACCGUGUCCAGGGUGGCCACCAUGGCAGCGGUGACCAAGCUCGUCAGAUCUGUCUUUUUUAGUGUCGGUUUAAUCCCCACACUCAUCGCGCACCUGGGGAUUUCGCCGGCACUCCAUGAUUUAUUAAAACAGAAAGCAAUGCAAAUGGGGAAGGAAGCUGCAAAAUGCAGCCUGGUGAAAGCCUCUUCCCCUGCCAGCAGACUGAACUCGCCCCGUUUCCUCAGCAGCACCAAAACAGCCGGAUCCUCGCUGUCAGCCAGCCUGACGCUUUCCUCGCCUUCCGCUCCGACAAGCCAGGCACAUGCACCUCUCUGCCACGUCUGGGCUGUUCGUCACGUCUCCGUGUAAUUGCCACUUGUGUGUGUGCAGUGUUCUCGGUAGCCUGAGGGGCUCCCCCAUCCUUGUAGCUGCUCUUCUCUGAUCACCCCUGAUUUGUUGCACACCCUGACUGUGUAUUAGUGCUCCUCCAGCUCCCGCAGGUGAACUCACGGUGUCUUUUACAGCAUAGUGCCAGGUGAACGAUGCUAUUACAGAAGCGUUCCCUGGAGAUCUUCCCUUCUUUAUGGCUGUCAUCCCAAGAGCCACAGAGGUCUGCCUGGCUGCUGCUGUCCUCCUGGACUCCUCUGUUAUUUUCCAGAGCUUGUUGAAAUAGCCUCAGUGGUGUUUGCUUGUUUGUUUUGUGAAAGGAGUCAGGUCUGAAGCCCCUGUGUCGUGUUUUUCCAUCUGCAGCUCAUCUCCAUGAAAACCCAGCCUGACCCUGAAGCAAGCAUCGGCUCCUUAUUCCUUAUUCAUUGGCUCCUUAUUCCUUGCAUACCUGGAGGUUUGUGGCCCAGGCUGCAUUUGUGUGUGGCUGGAACAGUUUUUGGAGGAGCCCAGAGCCCGGUUCUUGUUUCUGGGCCCCUGGUUGUCUGAAAUCCUUGGAGUAGCACAGGCAUNNNNNNNNNNGGUAGCCUGAGGGGCUCCCCCAUCCUUGUAGCUGCUCUUCUCUGAUCACCCCUGAUUUGUUGCACACCCUGACUGUGUAUUAGUGCUCCUCCAGCUCCCGCAGGUGAACUCACGGUGUCUUUUACAGCAUAGUGCCAGGUGAACGAUGCUAUUACAGAAGCGUUCCCUGGAGAUCUUCCCUUCUUUAUGGCUGUCAUCCCAAGAGCCACAGAGGUCUGCCUGGCUGCUGCUGUCCUCCUGGACUCCUCCGUUAUUUUCCAGAGCUUGUUGAAAUAGCCUCAGUGGUGUUUGCUUGUUUGUUUUGUGAAAGGAGUCAGGUCUGAAGCCCUGUGUCGUGUUUUUCCAUCUGCAGCUCAUCUCCAUGAAAACCCAGCCUGACCCUGAAGCAAGCAUCGGCUCCUUAUUCCUUAUUCCUUAUUCAUCGGCUCCUUAUUCCUUGCAUACCUGGUGGUUUGUGGCCCAGGCUGCAUUUGUGUGUGGCUGGAACAGUUUUUGGAGGAGCCCAGAGUCCCGGUUCUUGUUUCUGGGCCCCUGGUUGUCUGAAAUCCUUGGAGUAGCACAGGCAUAUUGCUCUCAGACACCACACUAAAACCCCACUGUGUCCUUUCUUUUAAUUCUGCUUAAAAAAGUGAUCUCCUUUGCCUGACACGAGCUGUCUUUCCAAAACCCCAUCAGCUUUCCGCUGGCCAGCUGUGGGGCCACCCCAAAGCAGGAGGCCUGGCCGUGGCUGGCCUUGCUCCUGUCUCCCCACUGCCCUACACGUGUGUGCCUGCGUGAGGGUGCCGCAGCCCUUUCCGCCUCCUCAGUGCCCAUCAGAGUUGUCGUUCCCAGUUUGCAGAAGUGAGAAAAUCAGAAUCCAUCUGUUCCAGUGCAAAAACUGGGCAAAAACAACAGAAAACAGCGCUUUCCGCACAGCGCCUCGGGUGUUUUGGC